RNAcentral lists this ribosomal RNA (404 nucleotides) under uncultured bacterium. RNAcentral describes it as "bacterial SSU rRNA". It matches the Rfam family "Bacterial small subunit ribosomal RNA", at positions 356 to 776 of the family's 1533-position model. The record is from RNAcentral.
GGGGAAUAUUGCACAAUGGGGGAAACCCUGAUGCAGCGACGCCGCGUGAGUGAAGAAGUAUUGCGGUAUGUAAAGCUCUAUCAGCAGGGAAGAUAAUGACGGUAACUGACUAAGAAGAUCCUGCUAACUACGUGCGAGUCGCCGCGGUAAUACGUAGGGGGCAAGCGUUAUCCGGAUUUACUGGGUGUAAAGGGUGCGUAGGUGGCAUGGCAAGUCAGAAGUGAAAGCCCGGGGCUCAACCCCGCGGACUGCUUUUGAAACUGUCAGGCUGGAGUACAGGAGAGGUAAGCGGAAUUCCUAGUGUAGCGGUGAAAUGCGUAGAUAUUAGGAGGAACACCAGUGGCGAAGGCGGCUUACUGGACUGUAACUGACACUGAGGCACGAAAGCGUGGGGAGCAAACAGG